This 462-nucleotide ribosomal RNA is filed under the name uncultured bacterium. RNAcentral's name for it is "partial 16S ribosomal RNA". It matches the Rfam family "Bacterial small subunit ribosomal RNA", at positions 28 to 507 of the family's 1533-position model. The record is from RNAcentral.
GAUGAACGCUGACAGAAUGCUUAACACAUGCAAGUCUUUGGCGAAGCUGUGCUUGCACAGCCUAGCCAAGGCGGACGGGUGAGUAACGCGUAAGGAACUUGCCCUGCAGUCAGGGAUAACAGACGGAAACGACUGAUAAGACCUGGUAAAGUCAGGCGGACUCAUGUCCAGCCUGAUGAAAAGAGAUGCUGCAGGAGAGCCUUGCGUCCUAUUAGCUUGUUGGUGGGGUAACGGCCCACCAAGGCGAUGAUAGGUAGCCGGCCUGAGAGGGUGGACGGCCAGAAGGGGACUGAGAGACGGCCCUGACUCCUACGGGAGGCAGCAGUGGGGAAUAUUGGACAAUGGGGGCAACCCUGAGCCAGCAAUUCUGUGUGCACGAUGAAGGUUUUCGGAUUGUAAAGUGCUUUCAGCAGGGAAGAAAAAAUGACGGUACCUGCAGAAGAAGCGACGGCUAAAUACGUG